ACAAGAAGGGUGGUAUUGUCAGGGGAUUACAAGAGAAAGAUGCUAAUACAGUACUCUGUUUUAUCUUUAUCAGAUACAGCCUCAAGUAAAUUGCUCCUUCCCCGAAUGACCCACAUUCCAAGACAUGGAGAGGCCUUUCCACGUGGAGCCAUCCCACACUCCAGAGGUCUAUAUAAAAUGUUCUCUCCCUUGGGCAAUCAUAUAGGGACUUCAGGGACUUGAGCUACUUUAACAGAAUUCAAAAUGCAAGACAGAGUGAAGAUUUACAAAUCUUGAUAUGCCAAACCAAGUUUAUCACAAGUAAGUGGGCUUUGUGUGGAUGCUGAGACUGCCUUCUAUCUCUUAACUAGUUCAAGGAUUGCUUUCCCCAGUUGAAAUCACUCUGCUGCCAAGAAUAGAUUUGUCCGGAGCUCAACUUUUGCAUAUUCAUCAUCUCAACAGGUUGUAGACAUUAAAAAUAUAUAUUCUUCAAAGUGGCUUCUCAUGAAAACAGAUAUAGACAUGCAAUACUGGUCAACCAAAGACUCAUUGAAGAUAUCAAUAUGUAAUACAACCACCAUUGUUAAUUCCCUACCACUUUGUUUGUAACUCUGUAUUGUCUGUAUUGUGCUUGUGAUAUGUUGUAAAAUGUUGUAUGUCUGUUAAUGUUUCCCUCCUUUUAUCCUUAAAAUAAAA
RNAcentral lists this long non-coding RNA (675 nucleotides) under Chinchilla lanigera (long-tailed chinchilla). RNAcentral describes it as "lncRNA (ENSCLAG00000024420.1)". Lineage: Eukaryota; Metazoa; Chordata; Mammalia; Rodentia; Chinchillidae. The record is from RNAcentral.